GGGAUCUUAAAAUUUGAGAGAAAAAAGACAGGAGAGAAGGGAGAAAGAAGAGGAAGAAGAGAAAAGAGGGAAUUAGAAGGGAAAUAGAAAGGAGUUGAAGAGAAUAAGUUUAAAGAUAAUCAUGAUAUUCUACCGGCGGGACGUCAGUAGGAUUUUCUUCGAUAUCAGCUUUGAGUUUUGUUGCUUUCGAGUCAGGCUUAUAGUUUGAUAGCAGGUCAUUUUGUUGAACCUUCAAAACCUGCUCUUUGGUUGUACCUUGUACCUUUCCUUUAUGUUUAGUUAGUGCUCUAAAACUCUGAACUUAUAUAAACUCUUGUAUUAAGACAAUUCAAUUAUAUUAUGAAGUUGAUUUUGUUAUAAA
Molecule: long non-coding RNA, 361 nt
Organism: Populus trichocarpa (black cottonwood)
Lineage: Eukaryota; Viridiplantae; Streptophyta; Magnoliopsida; Malpighiales; Salicaceae
Exons: 3
Source: RefSeq, a predicted model, not a curated record